Molecule: regulatory RNA element, 54 nt
Organism: Gasterosteus aculeatus (three-spined stickleback)
Lineage: Eukaryota; Metazoa; Chordata; Actinopteri; Perciformes; Gasterosteidae
Rfam family: UnaL2 LINE 3' element
About the family: The eel long interspersed element (LINE) UnaL2 and its partner short interspersed element (SINE) share a conserved 3' tail containing a stem-loop that is critical for their retrotransposition.
Source: Rfam
AAUUAAAUGGAAUGUAAGUCGCUUUGGAUAAAAGCGUCAGCUAAAUGACUGAAU